RNAcentral lists this ribosomal RNA (857 nucleotides) under uncultured Bacteroidales bacterium. RNAcentral's name for it is "bacterial SSU rRNA". It matches the Rfam family "Bacterial small subunit ribosomal RNA", at positions 8 to 878 of the family's 1533-position model. The record is from RNAcentral. Lineage: Bacteria; Pseudomonadati; Bacteroidota; Bacteroidia; Bacteroidales.
AGAGUUUGAUCAUGGCUCAGGAUGAACGCUAGCUACAGGCCUAACACAUGCAAGUCGAGGGCAGCACUGAGGAAGCUUGCUUUCUCUGGUGGCGACCGGCGAAUGGGUGAGCAACGCGAUCCAACCUGCCCUCCGCGCGGGGAUAGCCCUUGGAAAUGAGGAUUAACACCCGAUACGCGUAUUCCCGCAUGGGUAUUCGGUGAAUUUUGCGGAGGAUGGGGAUGCGUUGGAUUAGCUGCUGGUGAGGUAACGGCUCACCAGGGCUCCGAUCCAUAGGGGUUCUGAGAGGAAGGUCCCCACACUGGCACUGAGACACGGGCCAGACUCCUACGGGAGGCAGCAGUGAGGAAUAUUGUCAAUGGGCGGAAGCCUGAACCAGCCAAGUAGCGUGCAGGAUGACGGCCCUACGGGUUUAAACUGCUUUUGCGGGAGGAUAAAUUCGCCCACGUGUGGGCGCUUGCAGGUAUCCCGCAAUAAGGACCGGCUAAUUCCGUGCCAGCAGCCGCGGUAAUACGGAAGGUCCGGGCGUUACCGGAUUUAUUGGGUUUAAAGGGAGCGCAGGCGGAGAUGCAAGCGUGCCGUGAAAUCGCGGGCUCAACCCCGUCCAGCGGCGCGAACUGCAUCCCUUGGUUGCGGGAGAGGAAGGCGGACUCGUGGUGUAGCGGUGAAAUGCAUAGAUAUCACGAAGAACUCCGAUCGCGAAGGCAGCUUCCGGCCCGUUAACGACGCUCAUGCUCGAAGGCGCGGGUAUCAAACAGGAUUAGAUACCUGGUAGUCCGCGCAGUAAACGAUGAGUGCUCGGGAUUUGCCCCUUUGGGGUGAGUCCCCAGCGAAAGCGUUAAGCACUCCACCUGGGG